This 226-nucleotide ribosomal RNA is filed under the name uncultured bacterium. RNAcentral's name for it is "partial 16S ribosomal RNA". It matches the Rfam family "Bacterial small subunit ribosomal RNA", at positions 999 to 1224 of the family's 1533-position model. The record is from RNAcentral.
CCGAAACAUGGUGUUGCACUUCGGUGGCCAGGGCGACAGAUGUAUCAUGGCUGUCGUCAGCUUGUGUGGUGAGAAGUUGGUCUUAGUCCCGCAAGGAGAGCAACCCCUUCCAAUAGUAGCCAUCAGCUCAUGUUGGGCACUUUAGAGGGACCGCCGGUGUUAACCCGGAGGAAGGUGGGGCAGACGUCAAGUCCUCAUGGCCUUUAUGCCCAGGGCUACACACGUG